GCCUCUAUAGCUCAGUUGGCAGAGCAUUAGUUUCGUAAACUAAAGGUCUCCGGUUCAAACCCGGGUGGGGGCU
Blepharisma stoltei is the source of this 73-nucleotide non-coding RNA. Lineage: Eukaryota; Ciliophora; Heterotrichea; Heterotrichida; Blepharismidae. The record is from the annotation of a GenBank genome assembly.